RNAcentral lists this transfer RNA (58 nucleotides) under Apaloderma vittatum (bar-tailed trogon). It matches the Rfam family "tRNA", at positions 8 to 63 of the family's 71-position model. From Rfam's summary of the family: Transfer RNA (tRNA) molecules are approximately 80 nucleotides in length. Their secondary structure includes four short double-helical elements and three loops (D, anti-codon, and T loops). Lineage: Eukaryota; Metazoa; Chordata; Aves; Trogoniformes; Trogonidae. The record is from Rfam by way of RNAcentral.
UAGCUCAGUCGGUUGAGCAUGGUGCUGAUAACACCAAGGUCGUGGGUUUGAUCCCCGC